GACGAACGCUGGCGGCGUGCCUAAUACAUGCAAGUCGAGCGCAGGAAAUCAUCCGAACCUUUCGGGGGGACGUUGAUGGAAUGAGCGGCGGACGGGUGAGUAACACGUAAAGAACCUGCCCCCAGGUCUGGGAUAACCACGAGAAAUCGGGGCUAAUACCGGAUGGGUCAUCGGACCGCAUGGUCCGAGGAUGAAAGGCGCUUCGGCGUCGCCUGGGGAUGGCUUUGCGGUGAAUUAGCUAGUUGGGGGGGUAAUGGCCCACCAGGGCGACGAUGCAUAGCCGACCUGGGAGGGUGAGCGGCCAGCCUGGGACUGAGACACGGCCCAGACUCCUACGGGAGGCAGCAGUAGGGAAUCUUCCACAAUGGGCGAAAGUCUGAUGGAGCAACGCCGCGUGAACGAUGAAGGCCUUCGGGUCGUAAAGUUCUGUUGUAAGGGAAGAACAAGUGCCGCAGGCAAUGGCGGCACCUUGACGGUACCUUGCGAGAAAGCCCCGGCUAACUACGUGCCAGCCGCCGCCGUAA
This 524-nucleotide ribosomal RNA is filed under the name uncultured bacterium. Its description in RNAcentral is "partial 16S ribosomal RNA". It matches the Rfam family "Bacterial small subunit ribosomal RNA", at positions 28 to 523 of the family's 1533-position model. The record is from RNAcentral.